This 253-nucleotide ribosomal RNA is filed under the name uncultured bacterium. Its description in RNAcentral is "partial 16S ribosomal RNA". It matches the Rfam family "Bacterial small subunit ribosomal RNA", at positions 524 to 776 of the family's 1533-position model. The record is from RNAcentral.
UACGUAGGGUGCAAGCGUUGUCCGGAAUUAUUGGGCGUAAAGAGCUCGUAGGCGGUCUGUCGCGUCGGAUGUGAAAAUCCAGGGCUCAACCCUGGACCUGCAUUCGAUACGGGCAGACUAGAGUUCGGUAGGGGAGACUGGAAUUCCUGGUGUAGCGGUGAAAUGCGCAGAUAUCAGGAGGAACACCGGUGGCGAAGGCGGCGUUCUGGACUGUAACUGACACUGAAAAACGAAAGCCAGGGGAGCAAACGGG